RNAcentral lists this ribosomal RNA (253 nucleotides) under uncultured bacterium. Its description in RNAcentral is "partial 16S ribosomal RNA". It matches the Rfam family "Bacterial small subunit ribosomal RNA", at positions 524 to 776 of the family's 1533-position model. The record is from RNAcentral.
GACGUAGGGGGCUAGCGUUGUCCGGAAUCAUUGGGCGUAAAGAGCGUGUAGGCGGCCCGGUAAGUCCGCUGUAAAAGUCAAAGGCUCAACCUUUGAAUGUCAGUGGAUACUGCCGGGCUAGAGUCCGGAAGAGGCGAGUGGAACUCCUGGUGUAGCGGUGGAAUGCGCAGAUAUCAGGAAGACCACCAACGGCGAAGGCAGCUCGCUGGGACGGUACUGACGCUGAGACGCGAAAGCGUGGGGAGCGAACAGG